CCGGAAGAGAUUGGAAAGUUUCAUGCAACAUUUAUAAAUGUUUAAUAUUUCAGAUAAAAAUGUUUACGAACGGAUGAGAAAAUAGUAUUCGUUAUGGGAGGGAUGAAGCAGAGGAAUACAGGACGAUCUCUCAGAGAUCUGAAGAGAGAGAUUAGCGCCAGGUCGGAAUCCAACCAGGAAAAGAAACCUCAGGUUGUGCAGGAAGAGGAUGACAGCUGGUACCCGUCUUCCUAUACAUCCUGGAAGCUAGUGCUGUCUGCUCGUCUGUGUGCUGCUGUCUGGUCUGGAGUAUCCGACUGUGAUGAAACAUACAACUACUGGGAACCAACCCAUAAUCUUCUCUAUGGUCAGGGGAUGCAGACCUGGGAGUAUGAUCCUAGGUAUGCUCUUCGAUCCUACAUGUAUCUGAUGGUCCAUGCAGUUCCUGGUUGGAUCUACGCUAAACUUCUCCAACCCAACCCUAUGCUUGUUUUCUACUUUCUACGCUGCUUGCUUGGAGGAAUUUGUGCUUCAUGUGAGGUUUACUUCUAUCAGGGAGUUGUAAAGGAGUUUGGAAUUAAUGUUGGUAGAAUAACAUUAACCGUAUUGACCCUGUCCACUGGUAUGUUUAUCUCCAGCACCGCCUACCUCCCCUCCUCCACCUCGAUGUACCUGACCCUGCUUGCCUACGGAGCCUGGUUCCGCCAGGAGUACAGGGCAGCUAUUUUCGCCACAGCCCUCUCCGCCAUUCUCAGUUGGCCCUUUACAGUUCUCCUGGGAGUUCCCAUAGCCAUUGAUAUAGUUCUGUACCGAGGGAAGGUCAACAUGUUCCUGGGUUGGUCAGCUAUAUCAGCGGUCACCAUACUCGGACCAAUCAUGAUGUGUGAUACAUUCUACUAUGGGAAACCAGUCUUUGCAGCAUUCAACAUUGUUAUGUACAACGUGUUUACCUCCCAUGGUCCUGAUCUGUAUGGAACUGAACCUACAUCCUUCUACCUUAUUAACGGUAUCCUUAACUUCAACCUAAUUUUUCCAGCCGCUCUUCUCCUGGUCCUUGUUAGAGUAGGAGGACGUCUUCUCCUCGGAGAAAAAACUGUUUCUCUUCAGGGAGAACAUCUUCCGAUUCUUCUCUCACAGGCGGGUCUGUAUCUAUGGUUUCUAGUGUUCUGGCUCCAACCUCACAAGGAGGAGAGAUUUCUCUUUCCAGUAUAUCCUCUAAUAGCUCUAGCAGGAGCUAUCUCUAUAGACACAACACAGAGGAUUAUUCAUUCUCUACUCUCCACAUCCAAACAGUAUCUGAACCACACGCUCUGGAUCUCCGGGUCCUCUCUUCUUCUCUUCGGAAUUAUAUCCUUACUACGGAUUACUGCAUUGUAUCAGCACUACCAGGGAUCUACUGAUGUAUGGAUGAAUGUUGCUCAGUUAGAAGUGUCCCAGCAUACGACUCAUGUAUGUGUUGGGAAGGAGUGGCAUAGAUUUCCUUCAUCCUUCUUCCUUCCUUCAACUUCAUUCAAGAUUGAGUUUCUAAAAUCCGAGUUCAGGGGACAACUGCCGAAGUAUUACGAGAGUACAGAGAAGGGACUCCUCCCGACUAGGGUUUAUCAUGAUGAUUUUAACGAUCAAAAUAUGGAAGAACCCUCGAGAUAUUUCACAAAUCCAGGAAAAUGUCAUUAUUUAGUUGACCUGGACAACGACGAGGUAACUGACCGACAGCCGAGGUAUGCUGGACAUGAAAACUGGACUGAGGUUUCUAGUUUCAGUUUCUUGGAUCCCGGAGCUUCACAUCCGUUCUUCAGAGCUUUCUAUAUUCCUUUCAUAGACUCAUACUUCUGCAAGUAUAACAAGUAUCUUCUCCUCAAGAGGAACCUAGUUCACGACAUGAACUAAUCUUAUCAUUUAUUAAAAUAUAUCUGGAGUAAAUUUCUCAAAUAGGAUUUAAAAUCCUGUUGGGUGAAAACUAAGUAUCGAGCUUGAAAUUAUGUAUAAAAAAAUCUAGCGGGACGUAUACAGAAUAUUGUUAAGCCUGGAUUCUCUUCAAUACGGAGUUGUUAACAAACGAAACAAAUUGUAAGCAGUAGAUUUAGACUUCAAUUUCAUGUGAAACAGAGAUGUGGAGAUUUACUCCAUAUAUUUGUUUUGUCACUUUCACCCUAGGUCGAUCCUAGUCAUGUAUGUUGUUUAUUGUUAAACGUUUUUUUUAUCAAGGGAUCAAAUAUCAACUUGUGUGAAAGUGGAAAUUGACAACAAUUGCACUACUUCUACACUUUCCAGUGACGUUUAGGAGGUCUUUUAAUAUUAAUUGUAAGCAAUAUUAAAGUUAUAUUUGUGAAUCUUUAUAUUAGUGUUCUGUCUUUACUGUAUUAACUGAUGUGACUUCAGCAAGAGCUGUUAGCUGUUAGAACUGUUAAAUAGAAAGACGACAGAACAGCAAUCGAAGUGUAUUUUAUGUUGCUUUAAAACAAAUUGUUGUUCUAGUAGCUUAAAUCCCCAAUUGAGUAAAAUGGGUCUGUGCACACUGUGUACAGUGUACACUGUACAAUUGCUGUGUUUCAUGCUCAUUAACCCAUUUAGAAUUAUUCCACAGUUUUCUGGUUCUCACUGUAUUUACUAAAAUGAAAUGUUUAAUAUAGAAAAGACUGUUCGGUAAACUAUUGUUUAUCACUGGAAAAUUUAUUUUUUACAUGUUAGGAAUGUAUAUAAUUUGUGGUAGUUUUUUCAAUAAAUGUUGUGAUUUCUGUUUUA
Molecule: unclassified non-coding RNA, 2721 nt
Filed under: Eurytemora carolleeae
Lineage: Eukaryota; Metazoa; Arthropoda; Copepoda; Calanoida; Temoridae
Description: alpha-1,2-mannosyltransferase ALG9
Source: RNAcentral